AAACCACUUGUCUCUGUGAUGACCUCACAGUCUCAGAUCUGUGAUGAAAUAAUAGCUGUCUGUUUAAGAAUCAGGAGAUUAUACAAGUCCUAUUCUCUCAUCAAAGGCUGGGAAGUUGUACUUUAAUAUUUAGCUAUAAAUAUAAAUGCCAUAUACAAUGCUUUAAAAAUAGAAGGAAAAUUGACUGUAUUCCUCCGAAACUACUUCAAUAACAAAAUUCUUCCUUUUAAGAAGCUUCACAGAAGGAAUGUUAAUAGACCUGCUAUACAGACCAUGAAAAUGAAUACUUGUGAUGCCCAGCAGGAGCAAGUCUCAGGCUGAGGGCCAGGAGACUGGGACCUGGAUGUUCUUGAUCCUGAAUUCUUUUGGCAUCAAGAGCUCUUUCCUUUGAGCGUAACCUCUGCUGAGUAGCUGGGCUCCCAGACUCAGUUUUCAGUUUUUCAAUCUGUCCACAAAGGAAGAAUGUGAGAAGAGAUUAGAAAGAACAUCAUAUUCUCAUAAGCACUUAAGAACGGUUCUUUGUAUAGCUUUCACACUGAAGCUGAAGGUACUGCAGAUAGAAGACUGACUGGUGUGAAGCCCUCCUGACCUUUCCAGCCUGUGCUCUGCUGCCCCAUCACCACGUGCUAAAGGAUCCUGAAGGCUCCUUUCAAAAAAGAAGCAUUGCUUCAUUAUACUAGGUGUAUCUUUAAGACUUGAACACAAACAGAAAAAUAAAAGACUGGAAAUGACAUGGUUCAUAAUAUUCCACUACAAAGAAAUACAAUUUCCUAAAGGUCACAUAGUGUAACCCUCCUGGCUUGAGGCCUGUCUCUCAUAACCACACCUCUCUGCCCACCUCCUGCUAUUUGUCAUGCCUCGCUCCUGGUUCCAGUUACAUCGGAAGUCCCACUUCUACAGAGCCCAAAAGAAGUCACUGAUUGGGCUGGCAUGCUGAUGAACUUGUGGGAUGGGUUUUGUCUCACCUAUUCUGUUGGCUUGUAACAAAGAAUUAUUAAAGGUCAGAGUGGCUGAGCGAUCACGA
This is a long non-coding RNA of Mastomys coucha (southern multimammate mouse), 1024 nucleotides long. RefSeq lists it as uncharacterized. Lineage: Eukaryota; Metazoa; Chordata; Mammalia; Rodentia; Muridae. The transcript is spliced from 5 exons. The record is from RefSeq and is a predicted model, not a curated record.